Pan troglodytes (chimpanzee) is the source of this 3331-nucleotide long non-coding RNA. RefSeq lists it as uncharacterized. Lineage: Eukaryota; Metazoa; Chordata; Mammalia; Primates; Hominidae. The record is from RefSeq and is a predicted model, not a curated record. The transcript has 4 exons.
AGCAGUAGAGGAUGGCAAAUAAAGCAUGAUAUGUUUACCAAAUGGAAGACGCUACCAUCAUUAAAAUAAAGAAAAAUAAAUCAGAGACAAUGAUGUUCCAGCUGCAUUAUGAGAAACAAAAAAAUUCAAAGUCCCAAAGCAUAGUAUAUCAUUUUGUCAAAAAAGGAAAAAAAAAUGUAUAGCAAAAAGACAAAAAAUACAUACACCAAAUUAAUGAGAGUGAUUAUCUUUGGGUGGAGGAAUUAUGACUGAUUUUUCUUUGUCUAUGUUUUCUAAAAUUUCUAUAAAACACCUGUACAAAUAAAAUUAUAAUAAUAAGAAAGAAAAGUUAAUAUUAAAUAACUAUUCCACAAGGUUACUGUGAAGAUAAAAUGAAAUAAAGCAAGGCAAUGUUGACCUAAUAUUAGUUUUUAAUAUUGCAAACAUCUCUCUGUGACUGUUAGGAGACCCAGUUUCCUAUGGCAAGUACUAAUUGCAUUAUCCUUUCUAGAGAACCCUAUGUGAAGUCUGAAGUGAAAGUGUGAUAGCAUAGCUGGCUACUUUCAGGAGUGCCCUAUGGUGAUGGAUAAUCUGAUAAUACUUGCCAAAAUGGUAAUCAUAACCAAUAUGCUGAUAAAGUUCUGAAAAAUAAGGCUUGCUUAGUGCUUAGUACCAUGUAUUUUACGCAGUGCUCGAGAAUGCAGCGAGAGACCUAGGGGCUGACGUGGGACAACUUUUGACUCCUAGGAAAACCACCACCCUUUAGCUACCACACAGGUGUUUGCCUAAGCCAAUGACUAUAGGGCAUAUGACUACAGUGUCAACACAUACCAGCAACCAAAGGCCUGUGGAGACCUCUGCAGUACAGGUGCUACCUCAGAGACUGAUCACAAAAUCCUCAAGGCAGGAGUGAGCCCUUUCAUCAGGACCUCCUGAUAAAUCUCCAGGAGUUAGUGCCCUGUAAUACAAAGAGGAUGACCUCUGGAGUCAGAAAGACCCAGGUUGCAAGCCCAGUUUCACUUACCAACUAGUCGUUUCACUUGAGGCAAGCUACUUAGCUUGAGCCUCAGUUUCAAUAUCUGUAGGAUGGAAGUAAGGACACCUUUUUCAUGAGGCUGUUGUGAUUAUCAAAAGGUAUAGGCAGUGCAAAGCUGAAAGCAGUCAGCUGUCAGUGAAUUCUAUUAUCUAAGCAAUGUUAUCUGAUGGCAAUGCAUCUUACAGGAAUGCAUUGGAAUGUUCCAUAGAGAAGGGAAGGAAAAAAGGCCCAUAUGUCCUUGGGAUGUGACACUAAGGUGGCCCUGAGCUUCAGAAUAAACUAUGGGUUCUUUCUGAGAUUGACAUACCUUGUUAUAUUUUGAUUGAUUUCAACUAGCACAGUUCUUCUCUUUUAAAUUAUUCUUUUUCCAUUUGUCUUUUUUUAAAUUUUAGUUUUAAAAAGGUUGUAACGGGUUGAGUUGCAUCCCCCAAAAAGACACAUUCAAGUCCUAACUCCUGAUACCUGCGAAUGUGACCUUAUUUGGAAAGCAUAUCUUUAUAGAUAUAAUUAAGAUGAAGCAAUACUGGUCCAGGGGCCAGUCAUCUGAAUACUUAGACUAAGUAUUUAGAUUUAGUCUAAAUUUAAUUACUACUAUCUGUGUAAGAGGAAGGAGAGGGAGAUGUGCAUUUAGGGACACAGACAACACAUAGAGAAAAAGGCCACAUGCAGAUGGAGGAGGGAUUGGAGUGACAUAGCUAUAAGCUCAAGAAUGCCAAGGAUUUCUAGCAACUACCAGAAGCUAGGAGAGAGGCUUCAGGAACUUCUUCCCUAAAGCCUUCAGAGGGAGCAAGGCUCUGCUGCCACCUUGAUUUUGGGACUUCUAGCAUCCAGAACUGUGAGAGAACGCCACCAUCCUUUAGCUACCACACAGGUGUUUGCCUAUGCCAAUGACAAUUGGCGUAAAACAAUUUCUGUUGUUUUAAGCCACCCAGGUUGUGGCACUUUGUUACCACAGUUCCAUGAAAUUAAUACAAAGGUCCAGGAAAUGUUAUGAGUGUAAGGUGUCUGGCAAUAAUACUCUGGGGUCCUCCAAAAACAGAGUGUAGCUGUUUUCUUGCUGCCCCACCAAAUCCAUUCUCCCAUUCCUCCAGGGCAGUCAAGUUUUAGAUGGACACAUAGCCAUCCAGUUAGAGGCUGUAAUUCCCAGAGUCCCUUGCAGCUGGGUAUGGCCGAAAGACUAGAUUCUUACCAAGACAUGUGACCAGGAGGGGCGUGUGUAACUUCCAUGUCACUUAAAAGGAAGCUGUUCACUCUGGAUAUCCUUUCUCUCUCUCUUUCCAUGGACUGGAACUUGCAUAAGGCCAUGACCCAGCUCCAGCCAUGUGGGCAAGGCCACCUUUGGAGACAGGAGAGAGCACCCAGACAGGACCUGUGAGCAGAGCUUCCUUGGCAGCCUCCACUGGCUUCAAUACCACAGGAGAGAGAAGCCAGCUUCUACCUCAUUUUAGCUUGCACAGAAAUUGUUUCACUCCACUUCUCAAGAUUUGAAUCUAAACAACACACCAACUAUCUUAUGUCUUUCUUUGUUCUCCCGAGAGGGUUGUAAUUCGGCUUCAAUGAUCUUUUUUUUUUUUUUUUGAGACAGAGUCUCGCUCUGUCACCCAGGCUGGAGUGCAGUGGUGCGAUCUAGGCUCUCUGCAACCUCAACCUCUGCCUCCUGGGUUGAUGCGAUUCUCCUGCCUCAGCCUCCCGAGUAGCUGGGAUUACAGGCACGAGCCACCAUGCCUGGCUAAUUUUUGUAUUUUCAGUAGAGAUGGGGUUUUGCCAUGUUGGCCAGGCUGGUCUUGAACUCCUGACCUCAAGUGAUCCGCCCGCCUCGGCCUCCCAAAGUGCUGGGAUUACAGGCGUGAGCCACCGCACCUGGCCAGUUUCAAGGAUCUUAUGUCUGCAAACCAUCAAGCAAUGACCAGUGUGGAAUGAACUCCUUCAAGGGGACUGAGAAGGUGCCAGCUCACAUCACACAUCCUUUCUGAUGAUAUGAAUGGAGAAGUCUAUGUCAUAAUUUAAGGUGCAUUCUUACACAUCCUGUGUUCUGAUUAGAGCAAUAUAUUGCCAGAUACCUCAACUUUGCACCUGAAAACACAGUACCUGGGAUUUAAGAAAUAUUUGAGCACUUGAAAGGAAGAAAGAAAAAAAAAAAAAGGAAAGAAGGGAAGGAAGAAGGUCUAGAAGGACACAUACCAAAAUUUUAACUGUGAUCGUAUCUAGUAAUUUUCUUCCUUUCUACUUUUAUGUCUUUUCCAUAAUUGUUAUAGUGAGUAUUGUUUUACUUUUAUGACGGGUACAAUAAAAUGAACUUGAUUUUGAUCAUUUACU